RNAcentral lists this long non-coding RNA (636 nucleotides) under Homo sapiens (human). RNAcentral describes it as "HSALNT0375551". The record is from RNAcentral. Lineage: Eukaryota; Metazoa; Chordata; Mammalia; Primates; Hominidae.
GGAAUUGGCUGAUUCAACAGUUUGGCUGAACUAGGACUCUGCCACAGGUUACUCACUGUGCUUCAUUUCUGUUCCAAUUUUAAAAGAGUGUAUUUAACAUUCCAUCUCAAGACGAUGUGAUAGCAAUGAAGUCUUUACAUCAAAAACAGAAGAGGGGAGUUCAUCCAUAAUGAAGAUCAGCAGUGGAGUGGAAUGAGUCUUCCCUGGCCCACUUCAGUCAUUUUACAUUUCACACAACAAUGCAGAGCAUACCUUGUGGCGGCAUAUUCUGAUCUCCUAUAGUAGAUUCUCACAAAUUUCUCAUGUAGAAACUCACAAACAAGAAUCGUGGGUCUUUUUUGCUCAAGAAUUGCUUCAGGCAUUUCAGAUUCUGAACUCUAGUGGAAAGACUGACACCAACCAGUCUGAAGACCCCCACCAUGCAACUGGCUCAGAAGAAUGCACCUUUGGCAUCUCCCUGUCCCAAGACUGCACUCCUCACUUCUCAAGAAUCAAAAAUCCCUACACUUCAGCCGCUGUCCAGACCCCUCACAAACCCUACCCUAAACCUCUUGGAGAGGUGGAUUUGACUUUUCCUCCCAUCUCCUUGUCUGACUGUCAUAAAAAUAUUACACUAUUUCUCUGCUGCUAUCACCA